GAAAGUAAAAGUCGUAACAAGGUCUCCGUUGGUGAACCAGCGGAGGGAUCAUUACUGAGUUACCGCUCUACAACCCUUUGUGAACAUACCUAACUGUUGCUUCGGCGGGCAGAGGUCCCUCGCGGAUCUCUCCCGGCAACGCCCUCACGGGCGGAGCGCCCGCCGGAGGAUACCAAACUCUAUUUUAACGACGUUUCUUCUGAGUGGCACAAGCAAAUAAUUAAAACUCUUAACAACGGAUCUCUUGGUUCUG
RNAcentral lists this unclassified non-coding RNA (253 nucleotides) under plant metagenome. Its description in RNAcentral is "partial contains small subunit ribosomal RNA and internal transcribed spacer 1". The stretch from base 1 to 54 matches the Rfam family "Eukaryotic small subunit ribosomal RNA", at positions 1778 to 1831 of the family's 1831-position model. The record is from RNAcentral.